Molecule: ribosomal RNA, 305 nt
Filed under: uncultured bacterium
Lineage: Bacteria
Description: bacterial SSU rRNA
Rfam family: Bacterial small subunit ribosomal RNA
Source: RNAcentral
CCUACGGGGGGCAGCAGUGGGGGAUAUUGCACAAUGGGGGAAACCCUGAUGCAGCGAUGCCGCGUGAGUGAAGACGGCCUUCGGGUUGUAAAGCUCUGUCGCAGGGGACGAAAAUGACGGUACCCUGCAAGAAAGCUCCGGCUAACUACGUGCCAGCAGCCGCGGUAAUACGUAGGGAGCAAGCGUUGUCCGGAAUUACUGGGUGUAAAGGGAGCGUAGGCGGGAGGAUAAGUUGAAUGUGAAAUCCAUGGGCUCAACCCAUGGCUGCGUUCAAAACUGUUCUUCUUGAGUGAAGUAGAGGCAGG